This 520-nucleotide ribosomal RNA is filed under the name uncultured bacterium. RNAcentral describes it as "bacterial SSU rRNA". It matches the Rfam family "Bacterial small subunit ribosomal RNA", at positions 120 to 674 of the family's 1533-position model. The record is from RNAcentral.
GGGAACAUACCCUUUUCUACGGAAUAGCUCUGGGAAACUGGAAUUAAUACCGUAUACGCCCUACGGGGGAAAGAUUUAUCGGGGAAGGAUUGGCCCGCGUUGGAUUAGCUAGUUGGUGGGGUAAAGGCCUACCAAGGCGACAAUCCAUAGCUGGUCUGAGAGGAUGAUCAGCCACAUUGGGACUGAGACACGGCCCAAACUCCUACGGGAGGCAGCAGUGGGGAAUAUUGGACAAUGGGCGCAAGCCUGAUCCAGCCAUGCCGCGUGAGUGAUGAAGGCCUUAGGGUUGUAAAGCUCUUUCACCGAUGAAGAUAAUGACGGUAGUCGGAGAAGAAGCCCCGGCUAACUUCGUGCCAGCAGCCGCGGUAAUACGAAGGGGGCUAGCGUUGUUCGGAAUUACUGGGCGUAAAGCGCACGUAGGCGGAUAUUUAAGUCAGGGGUGAAAUCCCAGAGCUCAACUCUGGAACUGCCUUUGAUACUGGGUAUCUUGAGUAUGGAAGAGGUAAGUGGAAUUGCGAGU